GGGCGAAUAGCUCAGUUGGUAGAGCAUCGGCCUUACAAGCCGGGGGUCACAGGUUCGAGCCCUGUUUCGCCCA
RNAcentral lists this transfer RNA (73 nucleotides) under Myxococcales bacterium. RNAcentral describes it as "tRNA-Val". It matches the Rfam family "tRNA". Rfam says of the family: Transfer RNA (tRNA) molecules are approximately 80 nucleotides in length. Their secondary structure includes four short double-helical elements and three loops (D, anti-codon, and T loops). The record is from RNAcentral. Lineage: Bacteria; Pseudomonadati; Myxococcota; Myxococcia; Myxococcales.